AAUUAAUAAGCUUUUAUAGCAUUUGUUUUGAAAACUUAAGAAAGAAAUAAAUUUUCUAUUAAUUU
RNAcentral lists this transfer RNA (65 nucleotides) under Thremma gallicum. RNAcentral describes it as "tRNA-Ser". The record is from RNAcentral. Lineage: Eukaryota; Metazoa; Arthropoda; Insecta; Trichoptera; Uenoidae.